AUAAGAGAGCAGGCUGAGCAAGCCAAGGGAGGCAAGCCAGUAAGGAACAUCCCUCCAUGGCCUGUGCAUCAGCUCCUGCUUUCUGACCUGCUCGAGUUCCAGUCCUGACAUCCUUUGGUGAUGAACAGCAGUAUGGAAGUACGUCCUUUAUCAAUUGUCCUGUAUCCUGCACCUGGAAGGACAGCCUUGACUGGUAUAACAUAUUCAAAGAGCUGCAAAUUUAAAAGAGUCCAUAGAGACUACUCUCUGAUUUUCCUCUGGUGUCAAGUUGUUACCACAGCAUUAAAUGUGCUUCAAGGUGCCUAAAAUGGCACAUGGACAAUGUCUUAUGAAGGGGAGAAGACUCCAGUGGGAAAACCCCCCAAUAUAUUACCUGUCUAGGAGAUCAAGUGUCCAGCAAAAACAUACUGGAGAAGAUUACAACAGAGAAGAGUCUCAGGUUGCAUCUCCUGAGAACUCGGGUGUUGACCUACUAUGAUGUGCCAGUGUGCAGUGGAAAUCACAAACUCAGUGGAUAAAUAGAAAUGCAUUCCUCCUGUCCAUUUCCCUUUUCCUUUUCCCUUCUCCUUUCUCUCCUUCUUUAAAGUAGGAAGAAUCAGAAAAAUGGCAUAGUUCAUAGGAGUCAAACAAGAGAAAGAUGAAGGUGGAUGCUGAAACUCAUUCCUAAGCUUAUUGUUACUCCAGUGCACAGACUGUUCUUGGGCUCUAAAAUGCUAAGAAUACAAAUAUAGACAUGAACUAUUCUGGAGUUGAAUCCAUUGUCAAAUAGGGUAACAUUAACCAAGUACUGAGAGAUCUAGUAGAACCUAUUUCAACGCAAUGAGAAAAACAAAAAAAGUGCAUUGCUGAACUCAACCCAUCCAUAAACCUACAGAAUAAUGCCAUCUGUAAACUAUAUUUGUGUGUCAACGACACAGGAGGCUGACAAGACACUUUUCCUGUCCUCGAGACCGUCAGACAUCUUUGCUGUUCUCACUGUUCGCAUAUAUGCAAGGUCUUUCUGCUCCCAGUCCCUUGACGGCUGACCUACUAGCAUUUCUUAACAGCUGAAGGUGAAUCUCUUACCAUCAGGCUUGGAAUAUAGGUAGCUGUGUAUGCAUCUCCUUACCUGCUCAGAAAGCUCCAGAAGGUAUGCAAAAUAGCCUUUGGAGAGGAAAAUGGGACAGCUUCUGUUAGUUUCUCUCUCCUCUCAUGUGACAUGUCCCCAAGCCACCCACACAAGGCUUCGCAGAGGAGCAGGGUUACUUCAGAGUCCCUUUGGCAUCUGCACAGUCGGCAGUGUCAGUAACAGUACAUGCUAGGCUCAUCUAAGUGCUGUAGCUAAGUGCUCAGCUCUCUCUGUGCCUGGUUAUUAGUGCUUAGUUCAAGCUCCCCAUUCUAAUUCCCUUGCCAAGCUUGUGACACUUGGGAGUGUUCUCACUUAUCUUAUGGUUAUAAUGUAAGUCUC
Mus musculus (house mouse) is the source of this 1447-nucleotide long non-coding RNA. RefSeq annotates it as predicted gene 7759. The record is from RefSeq and is marked validated. The transcript is spliced from 3 exons. NCBI's taxonomy places the organism in Eukaryota, Metazoa, Chordata, Mammalia, Rodentia, Muridae.